This 277-nucleotide long non-coding RNA is filed under the name Elaeis guineensis (African oil palm). Its description in RNAcentral is "long non-coding RNA (EGUI_LNC060584)". The record is from RNAcentral. Lineage: Eukaryota; Viridiplantae; Streptophyta; Magnoliopsida; Arecales; Arecaceae.
GAUAUUGAAUAUGAUGUGAUGUAAAGCCACUCGCACCCCCUUCUAUCCUUUCAAAGCCCACAUCCUCUCUCUCCCAUCUCUUUUCCUCUCUCUUCCAUUCAAAAUUCAUAUCAUCUCUUUUUCAUCACCUUGUUCUUCUCUUCUCUCUCCCUUUUAAAACCCUAGCUAACUACUAUUCCAACCCCCAAAUCUUUCUUCUCCUCUCUCUCCCAUCAUCUUCUUCUUCUCCUCUCUCUUUUCAAAACCCAUCUCCUCUUUGCUGCCCCCACCCCCCACC